Molecule: long non-coding RNA, 283 nt
Organism: Chiroxiphia lanceolata (lance-tailed manakin)
Lineage: Eukaryota; Metazoa; Chordata; Aves; Passeriformes; Pipridae
Exons: 3
Source: RefSeq, a predicted model, not a curated record
AAUAGUCAGAAGGAUCUGUUGUCACAACAAGUGUUCCUAUCCAAGUCCUAAAAUGGCUUCUGUAGCGUGAGGGUUUUGUGCCCAAAUGUUUCUUCUGUUCUUGUUGAAGUGUCAGUUUUGAAGAAAUACUGAAAAUCUGGAACAAAUCCAGUGCUUGUCCUCAGGGAUAUUUGAAAAUCCAUGCAACUUCUGAAAUUCACCCAGAACAGACAAAGGAAGGAUGCUUGUGAUUCACUGUUAUUUUGAAAACAAUCUGAGUUAUAAUUUCCAUCAUGUUUUUACU